GAUGAACGCUGGCGGCGUGCUUGAUCAAUGCGAGUCGCGCGCGUGCUCCCGUGCUUGCAUGGGAAGGUAUGAGCGGCGUGCGGGUGCGUAACACGUAGACAACCUGCCCUGGUGUGGGGAAUAACCUGGGGAAACCUGGGCUAAUACCGCAUAACACUGCCGGACGCAUGUGUGGCAGUCAAAGUCUUAGGGCGCACGAGGAGGGGUCUGCGGUCUAUCAGUUGGUUGGUGGGGUAACGGCCUACCAAGGCGAUGACGGAUAGCCGGUCUGAGAGGAUGGUCGGCCACACUGGGACUUAGACAUGGUCCAGAGCCCUACGGGGUUUAGCAUGAAGGGAUCUUGCGCAAUGGGCGGAAGCCUGACGCAGCGACGCCGCGUGGAGGAAGACGCCGUUCGCGGUGUAAACUCCUUUUCUUGGGGAAGAAGCAAGA
RNAcentral lists this ribosomal RNA (432 nucleotides) under bacterium. Its description in RNAcentral is "bacterial SSU rRNA". It matches the Rfam family "Bacterial small subunit ribosomal RNA", at positions 28 to 455 of the family's 1533-position model. The record is from RNAcentral.